CACACGCCCCCUCCCACCCCAUCCGGCCCCGGCGCCCCGCGCAGCCGCCGUUGUUUAAAGGGGCCGCAGCCUGACUUCCAGGUGGGGAGCGCGAGUGGGCCCGGCGCGGCGGGGCCAGUGCGCAUGCGCGAGGCGCCAGCGGCCUCCGGCGUCACAGCGGUUCCCACGGUUGUCUUAGAAACCGGCCCCCUGAGGCUUGGCAAAGCAGGAGCCCUCCGUGGCGGUGCUUGGGUGUCGGGGCUGCGAGGCUGCUGCCCCACCUCUCCACGGGGUCGACAGGAACGUCUCCGGACGGCCGCCGGGAGUCGCAACGCGCCGGCCAGGAUGACAAAACCGCAGGCGGAGUCCGGGGGAAGCGGCGCGUCGUCCCAGCCUCAGGCCCGCCCGGACGGUGUUGGGGUGAGUCUCCCCAAAAGCCUUGCCCCCGUGAUCUCCACGACAGGUCCGCCCGCCUGUCCGUGGGCUGCUCUCUCCCCCGAGGGGCCUUCGCGCCCGGAGCAGAAGCCUGCAGCGUCAGGGGGGCUGUGUGCCUGCGGGGGCUGCGUUUCUGUGCCGCUGCUGCCGUGUGACCGUGCGUGUCUGCGUCUCUCCGUCCUCUCUUGUCUCUCUGGCCCUCACUCUCUGUGUGUUUCCCUCUUUCUGCCGGUUCGUGUGUGCGUGCCGUGUGCGCGGGGUGCGUUCGGACGAAUGCGCCCGGUGCGUCCAAAGGCGACUGUCUUGCGCGUCGGCCUGGCUCUGCCGAGCCUCUUUCUUCUGCCUCUGUGCCUGGGUCUUGCGGCGGGCUCGUCAGUGGUUUCGCCGCCGUUCCACUUGGGGUCCUCCCUGAGGGCCUCGACCGCGUGAGGAGAUGCGUCUUCCCCAGCAGCAGUGGAAAUCUCGUUACCCUUGCCGAGCGGACUCUCUCCUGGGAUCAAGAUAACCACAGUCCAGCCAGGGCAAAAGCCCCAGAGGGGCUCGUCGCCCUGCAGGAGAGGAGCAGACCCGCCUCAGAGGAGACGCUUGUACCUUUUCACGGCUCUUCUCUGAGAAAUGAAGCCGCACCACGGCAGAAGCUUGAAGAGGAAGCCGGGAAGGGGAGAUGCCAGGCCUCCCGGUCCCUGGAAGG
This 1105-nucleotide long non-coding RNA is filed under the name Macaca mulatta (Rhesus monkey). RNAcentral describes it as "lncRNA (ENSMMUG00000058819.1)". The record is from RNAcentral. Lineage: Eukaryota; Metazoa; Chordata; Mammalia; Primates; Cercopithecidae.